AUCGAAAUGAUUAAAUUAAAUGCAACUGAAUCGAUUUUAGGAGGAAGGAAUUGUGUCAGUGCCUGUGAGUAGAAACGAUCAUGAUCGCCGAUGCUUUUCAUUGUAAAGAGUUCUCAUUCUUUAUCGAUGGCGCUAGUGUCCUGCAAAGCUCAUCAGCUUGUUUUAAUAAUAAAAAUCAGAACUUUCCUUCUGUUUGUACUUUUUCUGUAAGAAUUGGUAAUGGUACCCAGAAAAAGAGUAAGAACAAUCCAGUUGGAGGUGUCACUGUUAGUUCACAAUGCAAUGUUCCUCUCAUUUUGGUCUCUGCAUCCAAAUGGAGAGCAAUUUUACAAUCUUAUUUUAGCAGAGUGAAAAAGAAGUGUUUAAAGAUCGGAGCAGAAGAGAAGGAUUGGGAGUGCAUUAAGUGGAGCAUUGGUGAGCACCUUGGACUUGGUGCAACCAAUUUAGGGGUUCUAAUUCUAUCAUUAGAAGCUCCUGCAUUUUCGAUUGUCAUGGAGUUUUCUACUUCCAACGGCUGUUCCAUUGUUGUUGUACAGAGCUGAUAUGCGUCGUGUGAUUAAGUCGACAGGGGCACUUCUCUUGGCUUUCUUAUUCGGCUCAGUAACAAAGCAUGAAUGUCGUCCUAUAAAGAAGAAAUCGAAGAAGAAUGAAGUUGAUAAAAGUAUUAUAUCAAAAGUUAAGAAGGGGAAGAAGCGUGUCGAUGGACUGCGUAAGGUUUCAUUAUAGUUUCUUUUUCAUUUUGCCCUAAUUUAUGCAUUUUGUCUAUGUUUUUUAGUAUUUUUAUAUGUGAUUUUGAUUUUAGGGUUUCAUAUAUUUUACAUGUUUUGUUGUUUUAUUAAGUAUAGUGUAUGUUAGAUUAUUUGUUUUGGGUGUUAGGCAUGUGAUGUUUAUGUAUGGUUGCAAUAUAGUUUACCUACUAGUUAUGAAUUAGGUCUAUUACGUGAAUGAUUUUUUAUUAAUUUAGUAUAGUUUCAAGAUAGUUUUAAAACCGUUUAUAUUAUCAUUAUCAUGUUUAUUUUUAUUUAUCCCUACAGAAUCGGGAAUACAAAUUCCAUACUUUUGAAUAUUUCAAGUCCAAGUGCUACUCUACUUGUACUUACAGUGAUAUUGACAACAUUAAGAAAAAAAUAAAUAAAGGAUGUGAUGACAAUAUUUCGUGCUACUCAAUUCUGUCAUUUCUUGGAUAUUCAUGUCUGAGAUCAAGCAUUGUUCUUCUCUGACCCCAUAUAUUUGUGUUGUUGCAUUUUAGUUGUUGAUGUGUUUCACUAUAGUGUUAACUAUUUUGAUUAUUGUUUUGUUAUACAGUGACUGUGGUACUUUUGUUGCUGCAUUUACUGAAUUCUUUAUCAUGAAAAAGAUGUUCCACUGGAUUUUAAUAUUGAAGCUUAUCGCACGAGGCUUGCUGUGCUUUUGUUUGCAUAUGGUAAAAGUAAAAAUGAUGAAAACAUUAAUAGUGAGGAUGAAAAGCCUAAGAAGUCCAUGAAGAAUGUUCAAGGGAAGAAUAAGGGUAUGUGAUUGGGGACUGAUUUCUAUAGCCUGUUGAAUGUUAUUGUUUAUUUUUAUUGUUUGUUAUUUUAAUGCUAGAUGUUGAGACUUGGUUAUUGAUGUUAUAAUUAUAUUACUUUUUUUUUCUUUUUGUUUAAGAACUAAAUAUGAGAUUGUUAUCUUUAGUGCAUAUGUUUUUGGGUUUCAAUGCA
This is an RNA transcript of Cannabis sativa, 1697 nucleotides long. RefSeq lists it as uncharacterized. Lineage: Eukaryota; Viridiplantae; Streptophyta; Magnoliopsida; Rosales; Cannabaceae. The record is from RefSeq and is a predicted model, not a curated record. The transcript is spliced from 4 exons.